GGUAGUGCUGAAGGCUUGUUUCUUAGGCUACUCCCUGGACCUCAGGGCGAGAGUGCUGCAUGCACGUGUGUGUAGACAUCCCUCCGUAUCUCACUGGUAAAAUCCGUCAGGACGUGGCUCUCGCUGAGCCGCAUGGUAGCCCGUCAGCUCCACUAGUUACACAGGCAGUGCCUGUCAUAGCGCACCAACCACAUAGGGCUCACUCUCAGCGCGGC
RNAcentral lists this small RNA (215 nucleotides) under Otolemur garnettii (small-eared galago). RNAcentral describes it as "RNase MRP (ENSOGAG00000023808.1)". It matches the Rfam family "RNase MRP". Rfam says of the family: RNase MRP is an enzymatically active ribonucleoprotein with two distinct roles in eukaryotes. In mitochondria it plays a direct role in the initiation of mitochondrial DNA replication. Lineage: Eukaryota; Metazoa; Chordata; Mammalia; Primates; Galagidae. The record is from Rfam by way of RNAcentral.